This 425-nucleotide ribosomal RNA is filed under the name uncultured bacterium. RNAcentral describes it as "partial 16S ribosomal RNA". It matches the Rfam family "Bacterial small subunit ribosomal RNA", at positions 354 to 796 of the family's 1533-position model. The record is from RNAcentral.
GUGGGGAAUAUUGGACAAUGGGCGCAAGCCUGAUCCAGCAAUGCCGCGUGGGUGAAGAAGGUCUUCGGAUCGUAAAGCCCUUUCGACAGGGACGAUGAUGACGGUACCUGUAGAAGAAGCCCCGGCUAACUUCGUGCCAGCAGUCGCGGUAAUACGAAGGGGGCUAGCGUUACUCGGAAUUACUGGGCGUAAAGGGCGCGUAGGCGGCUCUGUUAGUCAGGCGUGAAAUUCCUGGGCUUAACCUGGGGACUGCGCUUGAUACUGCAGGGCUUGAGGCCGAGAGAGGGUGGUGGAAUUCCCAGUGUAGAGGUGAAAUUCGUAGAUAUUGGGAAGAACACCGGUGGCGAAGGCGACCACCUGGCUCGGUUCUGACGCUGAGGCGCGACAGCGUGGGGAGCAAACAGGAUUAGAUACCCUUGUAGUCC